UAGUUUGCUUGUAGCAAAUCUCAUCUAGUUGUGAUAAGUCUUCACUCAAAUAUUUAAUCUUUAAUUUUUACAAGUCCGACUACAUCAAACCCGUGUGUGUAAAAUAAUAACUCAAAAC
Non-coding RNA from Populus trichocarpa (black cottonwood), 118 nucleotides. The record is from Rfam. NCBI's taxonomy places the organism in Eukaryota, Viridiplantae, Streptophyta, Magnoliopsida, Malpighiales, Salicaceae.